This 185-nucleotide ribosomal RNA is filed under the name uncultured Bacteroidota bacterium. RNAcentral describes it as "uncultured Bacteroidetes bacterium partial 16S ribosomal RNA". It matches the Rfam family "Bacterial small subunit ribosomal RNA", at positions 343 to 525 of the family's 1533-position model. Lineage: Bacteria; Pseudomonadati; Bacteroidota. The record is from RNAcentral.
UGGAGGCAGCAGUGAGGAAUAUUGGUCAAUGGGCGGAAGCCUGAACCAGCCAUGCCGCGUGCAGGAAGACGGCCUUAUGGGUUGUAAACUGCUUUUAUGUGAGGAUAAUAUUCAUCUUGCGAGGUGGAAUGAAGGUAUCACAUGAAUAAGGAUCGGCUAACUCCGUGCCAGCAGCCGCGGUAAUA